GACGAACGCUGGCGGCGUGCUUAACACAUGCAAGUCGAACGGUAAGGCCCUUUCGGGGGUACACGAGUGGCGAACGGGUGAGUAACACGUGGGUGACCUGCCCCCUACUCUGGGAUAAGCCUGGGAAACUGGGUCUAAUACCGGAUAUGACCUUGCGCUGCAUGGCGUUGGGUGGAAAGUUUUUCGGUGGGGGAUGGGCCCGCGGCCUAUCAGCUUGUUGGUGGGG
Molecule: ribosomal RNA, 226 nt
Filed under: uncultured Pseudonocardia sp.
Lineage: Bacteria; Bacillati; Actinomycetota; Actinomycetes; Pseudonocardiales; Pseudonocardiaceae
Description: partial 16S ribosomal RNA
Rfam family: Bacterial small subunit ribosomal RNA
Source: RNAcentral